ACCCAGCUGACGAGUCCCAAAUAGGAUGGAACAAGGGUCCUAGAU
Molecule: non-coding RNA, 45 nt
Organism: Schistosoma mattheei
Lineage: Eukaryota; Metazoa; Platyhelminthes; Trematoda; Strigeidida; Schistosomatidae
Source: Rfam